Molecule: ribosomal RNA, 119 nt
Filed under: Didymosphaeriaceae sp.
Lineage: Eukaryota; Fungi; Ascomycota; Dothideomycetes; Pleosporales; Didymosphaeriaceae
Description: partial large subunit ribosomal RNA
Source: RNAcentral
CCAGACUUGCUUGUAGUUGCUCAUCCGGGCUUUUGCCCGGUGCACUCUUCUGCGAGCAGGCCAGCAUCAGUUUGGACGGUUGGAUAAAGGCCUCUGUCACGUACCUUCUCUCGGGAAGG